GCAUGCGCAGACGGACCUGCGCUGGAGGCUUCAUCUUUGCCGCCGCUGCCGCCGCCUUCCUGGGAUUUGAGUCUCGAGCUUUCUUCGUUCGCUGGCCGGCGGGUUCGCGCCCUUCUCGCGCCUCGGGGCUGCGAGGCUGGGGAAGGGGUUGGAGGGGGCUGUUGAUCGCCGCGUUUAAGUUGCGCUCGGGGCGGCCCAUGGGACGUGCAUGUGCACAGUGAUUUGGCAAAGGACCUAGAUGAAAAUGAAGUUGAAAGGCCAGAGGAAGAAAAUGCCAGUGCUAAUCCUCCAUCUGGAAUUGAAGAUGAAACUGCUGAAAAUGGUGUACCAAAACCGAAAGUAACUGAGACCGAAGAUGAUAGUGAUAGUGACAGUGAUGAUGAUGAAGAUGAUGUUCAUGUCACUAUAGGAGACAUUAAAACGGGAGCACCACAGUAUGGGAGUUAUGGUACAGCACCUGUAAAUCUUAACAUCAAGACAGGGGGAAGAGUUUAUGGAACUACAGGAACAAAAGUCAAAGGAGUAGACCUUGAUGCACCUGGAAGCAUUAAUGGAGUUCCACUCUUAGAGGUAGAUUUGGAU
This 582-nucleotide small RNA is filed under the name Pongo abelii (Sumatran orangutan). RNAcentral describes it as "processed transcript". The record is from RNAcentral. Lineage: Eukaryota; Metazoa; Chordata; Mammalia; Primates; Hominidae.